AAGGUAGCUAGGGAGCCGGGUGAAAACUCCCCGCUAACGUUUAACAAUGUUAGCCACGGGCCGGUGCUUCGAUUCUCUCCCCACCUCUCACCCCGCUCUGAGAAAACCCCGGGUGAGCUCGUGGUGCCCAAAUAUCAUUACUGCAAUGGGGAAUGCAAGUGCCUCGUGCUCCGUCUCUGUGAGCUGAGAGAUAGAGAGGAGGAAAUACCAGGCCACUCUGGGAAAUACAGUACCACGGAGACGUCUGAUGCUCUUCACCAAAAAAGAACAUACCUUGACAUCACAGGCGUUAGCUGGUGCUGGGGAGAUCAUGAAUAUUCAUAUCUGAGAUAAUUCUGAACAUCGUUCUAAUCAAGAAAGUGUGUGGGAUGAAAAAAGGUUUUGAGAAUCACGGCCGCUCCCCUGACAGAAAAAUAAAUAAAUAAUCACUCUCUCUCUCACAAUCAGCCAGUGAAAUGUAAAUACCGUAAAACUUCAAUCAAUAGCAUGGGCGUUUAUUUGCUUCAAUCACUGAACACAACAGUUGCUUAUUAGUGACGGGCUUCUGUUUGAACCAGGCGUCUAUUUCCUUAAUGCAGACAGCUUUUGCUCAUUUGCAUGCAUAGUUAAUUGUUUAAUUCCAGCAUUCACAUCCAGCAUUUUAAUACAUUUCUUAAUUUUCUUCAAUUUCUUCAUAAUGUUUUAUCAUUUACACACUGUGUCACAUUUAUUUUGUCUU
RNAcentral lists this long non-coding RNA (718 nucleotides) under Oncorhynchus mykiss (rainbow trout). RNAcentral describes it as "lncRNA (ENSOMYG00000059351.1)". Lineage: Eukaryota; Metazoa; Chordata; Actinopteri; Salmoniformes; Salmonidae. The record is from RNAcentral.